CCCUUAGAUGUCCUGGGCCGCACGCGCGCUACACUGAGUGUCUGAGAUACGAGUCUGCCUGGUCCGGCAAGGUCUAGGUAAUCGCUAAAAGACACAUCAUGCUUGGGAUAGAUUAUUGCAAAUAUUAAUCUUGAACGAGGAAUUCCUAGUAAAUGUGAGUCAUCAGCUCACGUUGAUUACGUCCCUGCCCUUUGUACACACCGCCCGUCGCUCCUACCGAUUGAGUGAACCGAUGAGUAGUCCGGAUUGCGAUCGACCUCGGUUAAUCGCGAGAAGUUCCGCAAAUCACUUCACUUAGAGGAAGGAGAAGUCGUAACA
This 318-nucleotide ribosomal RNA is filed under the name uncultured eukaryote. RNAcentral's name for it is "partial 18S ribosomal RNA". It matches the Rfam family "Eukaryotic small subunit ribosomal RNA", at positions 1470 to 1796 of the family's 1831-position model. The record is from RNAcentral.